Molecule: unclassified non-coding RNA, 334 nt
Filed under: soil metagenome
Description: partial contains 5.8S ribosomal RNA, internal transcribed spacer 2, and large subunit ribosomal RNA
Rfam family: 5.8S ribosomal RNA (bases 1-120)
Source: RNAcentral
GAUGAAGAACGUAGCGAAAUGCGAUAAGUAGUGUGAAUUGCAGAAUUCAGUGAAUCAUCGAAUCUUUGAACGCACAUUGCGCCCGCCAGUAUUCUGGCGAGCAUGCCUGUUCGAGCGUCAUUUCAACCAUCAAGCCCCAGGCUUGUGUUGGAGCCCUGCGGCUGCCGCAGCCUCCCAAAACCAGUGGCGGGCUCGCUAUCACACCGAGUGCAGUAGUUUACUCUUCGCUCAGGGCGUGUGGCGGGUGCUAGCCGUGAAACCCCCAACUUCUCAAGGUUGACCUCGGAUCAGGUAGGAAUACCCGCUGAACUUAAGCAUAUCAAUAAGCGGAGGA